RNAcentral lists this ribosomal RNA (427 nucleotides) under uncultured bacterium. RNAcentral's name for it is "bacterial SSU rRNA". It matches the Rfam family "Bacterial small subunit ribosomal RNA", at positions 355 to 774 of the family's 1533-position model. The record is from RNAcentral.
UGGGGAAUUCUGGACAAUGGGCGCAAGCCUGAUCCAGCCAUGCCGCGUGCAGGAUGAAGGCCUUCGGGUUGUAAACUGCUUUUGUACGGAACGAAAAGGUGCCUUCUAAUAAAGGGCGCUCAUGACGGUACCGUAAGAAUAAGCACCGGCUAACUACGUGCCAGCAGCCGCGGUAAUACGUAGGGUGCGAGCGUUAAUCGGAAUUACUGGGCGUAAAGCGUGCGCAGGCGGUUUUGUAAGACAGAGGUGAAAUCCCCGGGCUCAACCUGGGAACUGCCUUUGUGACUGCAAGGCUGGAGUGCGGCAGAGNGGGAUGGAAUUCCGCGUGUAGCAGUGAAAUGCGUAGAUAUGCGGAGGAACACCGAUGGCGAAGGCAAUCCCCUGGGCCUGCACUGACGCUCAUGCACGAAAGCGUGGGGAGCAAACA